CAAUCAAGCUGCUUCGUAGGGCGGGUCUUGGCGUGGCCAUAGAGGGAUUCGUAAUUUUGCGAUUAGUGACGAUUCUCUCUGACCAAUCAGUAGUCUUGGAACCUCAACGGAGGUGAUCCUAAAAAAAGUACCUGUUAGCAGGCCUACCAGGGACUUUUUUUUGUAAUGGAAAUACAAAAAAGGUGAGUAGAGUCAGGGCGAGUUGAGCAGGUACCAUGUAAUGGAAAAACACCCUAAGAGUCUACAGCAAUGCUAGCAGCUCUCUGAAGCUGUACCUUUGCACAGCUGUGCUCUUAAACUAAACGCUAACGGCCGCAUGCUAACAUGGUCACAA
Molecule: long non-coding RNA, 334 nt
Organism: Sander lucioperca (pikeperch)
Lineage: Eukaryota; Metazoa; Chordata; Actinopteri; Perciformes; Percidae
Exons: 2
Source: RefSeq, a predicted model, not a curated record